CUCCUGGGAAGUCCUCGUGUUACACCCC
Molecule: ribosomal RNA, 28 nt
Filed under: Platanus x hispanica
Lineage: Eukaryota; Viridiplantae; Streptophyta; Magnoliopsida; Proteales; Platanaceae
Source: RNAcentral